GCAAUUUGAAUUUUUAGAAAUGGAUUUAUAUUACUCAAACGAUACAAAAAUGUAUGUACUAAAGUAUUAUUGAUAAUUGUAUAGCACGAGUCAUGUGAUGGAACGGGUUAUAAUUUACAUAAUUAUGAUUACAGAUAUUUUACGGGUUGUCUACUAUAAUAUAACUCACAAAAAUAUUUUAAUAUGAAAUUAUAUUAUGUAAACAAAUAAUUUUGUCAGUAUCAUUUCAUUAUUUU
This 236-nucleotide long non-coding RNA is filed under the name Capsella rubella. Its description in RNAcentral is "long non-coding RNA (CRUB_LNC000829)". Lineage: Eukaryota; Viridiplantae; Streptophyta; Magnoliopsida; Brassicales; Brassicaceae. The record is from RNAcentral.